UACGUAGGUGGCAAGCGUUGUCCGGAUUUAUUGGGUUUAAAGGGUGCGUAGGCGGUCCUAUAAGUCAGUUGUGAAAUACGGCAGCUUAACUGUCGAGGUGCAAUUGAUACUGCAGGACUUGAGUACAGACGAGGUAGGCGGAAUUGACGGUGUAGCGGUGAAAUGCUUAGAUAUCGUGAAGAACACCGAUAGCGAAGGCAGGUUACUAGACUGUAACUGACGCUGAGGCGCGAAAGUGUAGGGAUCAAACAGG
RNAcentral lists this ribosomal RNA (253 nucleotides) under uncultured bacterium. Its description in RNAcentral is "partial 16S ribosomal RNA". It matches the Rfam family "Bacterial small subunit ribosomal RNA", at positions 524 to 776 of the family's 1533-position model. The record is from RNAcentral.